This 198-nucleotide ribosomal RNA is filed under the name uncultured bacterium. RNAcentral describes it as "partial 16S ribosomal RNA". It matches the Rfam family "Bacterial small subunit ribosomal RNA", at positions 328 to 539 of the family's 1533-position model. The record is from RNAcentral.
ACGCUCGACACCUACGGGAGGCAGCAGUGGGGAAUAUUGCACAAUGGGGGAAACCCUGAUGCAGCGACGCCGCGUGAGUGAAGAAGUAAUUCGUUAUGUAAAGCUCUAUCAGCAGGGAAGAAAGUGACGGUACCUGAGUAAGAAGCCCCGGCUAACUACGUGCCAGCAGCCACGGUAAUCUGAGCGGGCUGGCAAGGC